RNAcentral lists this ribosomal RNA (468 nucleotides) under uncultured bacterium. RNAcentral describes it as "partial 16S ribosomal RNA". It matches the Rfam family "Bacterial small subunit ribosomal RNA", at positions 28 to 507 of the family's 1533-position model. The record is from RNAcentral.
GACGAACGCUGGCGGCGUGCUUAACACAUGCAAGUCGAACGGAAAGGCCCUGCUUUUGUGGGGUGCUCGAGUGGCGAACGGGUGAGUAACACGUGAGUAACCUGCCCCUGACUUUGGGAUAACUUCAGGAAACUGGGGCUAAUACCGGAUAGGAGCUCCUGCUGCACGGGGGGGGUUGGAAAGAUUCGGCGGUUGGGGAUGGACUCGCGGCUCAUCAGCUUGUUGGUGGGGUAGUGGCUUAACAAGGCUUUGGCGGGUAGCCGGCCUGAGAGGGUGACCGGCCACAUUGGGACUGGGAUACGGCCCAGACUCCUUCGGGGGGCAGCAGUGGGGGAUAUUGCACAAUGGGCGGAAGCCUGAUGCAGCAACGCCGCGUGCGGGAUGACGGCCUUCGGGUUGUAACCCGCUUUCGCCUGUGACGAAGCGUGAGUGACGGUAAUGGGUAAAGAAGCACCGGCUAACUACGUG